This 168-nucleotide small nuclear RNA is filed under the name Mustela putorius furo (domestic ferret). RNAcentral describes it as "U2 spliceosomal RNA". It matches the Rfam family "U2 spliceosomal RNA". Rfam says of the family: U2 is a small nuclear RNA (snRNA) component of the spliceosome (involved in pre-mRNA splicing). The record is from Rfam by way of RNAcentral. Lineage: Eukaryota; Metazoa; Chordata; Mammalia; Carnivora; Mustelidae.
AUUGCUUCUCGGCCUUCUGGCUAAGAUCAAGUGUAGGAUUUUUGCAAGCCUCUCGUUAAACACAGCUUUUAUUAAAGAUUAAAUUGCCAGCUCGCAUUUAAAUACAUUACAUGGAAAAUAAAUGCAAUAAAUACUCAAACUCAUUCCUUUCUAAUUAGUUUACUAUAU